ACCUAGGGGCGCAGCAGUAGGGAAUCUUCCACAAUGGGCGAAAGCCUGAUGGAGCAACGCCGCGUGGGUGAAGAAGGUCUUCGGAUCGUAAAACCCUGUUGUUAGAGAAGAAAGUGCGUGAGAGUAACUGUUCACGUUUCGACGGUAUCUAACCAGAAAGCCACGGCUAACUACGUGCCAGCAGCCGCGGUAAUACGUAGGUGGCAAGCGUUAUCCGGAUUUAUUGGGCGUAAAGGGAACGCAGGCGGUCUUUUAAGCCUGAUGUGAAAGCCUUCGGCUUAACCGGUGCAGUGCAUUGG
RNAcentral lists this ribosomal RNA (299 nucleotides) under uncultured bacterium. RNAcentral's name for it is "partial 16S ribosomal RNA". It matches the Rfam family "Bacterial small subunit ribosomal RNA", at positions 335 to 629 of the family's 1533-position model. The record is from RNAcentral.